AUGCCCAGCCCGCUGAAGCGCCCCUCCCUCGGCCGCCUGCUCGCCGCCCUCCGGUCGCCGCCCCGCGUCCCGGUCCAGACCGGCUUCCCCACCGCCCUUGCCGACCUCGUCGUCAAGAACCAUGCCCGCCUCAGGAAGCCCCGCAAGCCGCGCCGCCCCACCACCGCCCUGGCGCUGCCUCAGUCUCCGGCGGAGACACCGGUGGACGUAGCGGAGAUUCCUUCGCUGCCGUCAUCGCCCGGGCCUCUGUCGCCGGUGGUCGUGGAGGGCUCCUCGGCCCCGGUGGCGCGGCGGCUGGACGCGCCCAAAGGCGCCGCCUUCUUCCGGCCCCGCCCGGAGCUCCUCGCGCUCGGCGGGGCCGUGGCGCUCGCGCUCCUCGCCGUGUUGAGCGAGGGGGCCGUCGCGGCCUUCACCAUCGCCUCGCUGGCGCUGCUCUGGAUGGAGUCGGCCUCCCGCCGGCGCCGGCGCUCCUCGCGCCCGGCGGAGCUGCCCGAUUCGCGCGGCCCCGCCGCCGUGUCGCCGAUUCGGGAGGUGGAAGAAGCGCCCGGCUGCUCCGAUUCCGACAAGAGGAGCGAGGGCCCCUCCGAGAGGCGCGAGCUCGUCUCCGGCGGUGAAGAUCCGGCCAGCCCGAAGAGCAAAGCGAGGAGGUCGCUGAGGAAGAUGAUCUCCAAGACGCUGCAGAAGAAGCCCAAGGCGAAGGACGCCUCGGCCUCUAGCGAGGGCGGCGCGGAGGCAGUUAGAACCGAGGCCUUUGUAAUUCCAGCCCCUUCCUUGGCCGAGCAGACGCCGUCGGAAGCAAGCACAGAGUCUUCGCCGGUGUCGGUGGAGACGGAAAGGCGAGGCCUCGCCGCCGGGAAGCUCCCGGCGACGGCGCUUGCCGUGCUCUGCGUGGCCUUCUUCGGCCGGCGCCGUGCAGCAAAUUUAGGCUAG
This 930-nucleotide ribosomal RNA is filed under the name Triticum aestivum (bread wheat). RNAcentral describes it as "partial small subunit ribosomal RNA". The record is from RNAcentral. Lineage: Eukaryota; Viridiplantae; Streptophyta; Magnoliopsida; Poales; Poaceae.